This 134-nucleotide microRNA precursor is filed under the name Marmota monax (woodchuck). The record is from RNAcentral. Lineage: Eukaryota; Metazoa; Chordata; Mammalia; Rodentia; Sciuridae.
CAGGGUGACUAACUGUCCCAAUUGCUUAGGACAGAAAGAUCUCCCAGGAUCUGGAGCUUGAAGUGCUUGGGGGAAAAAAAAAAAAAAAAAGAAUGUCCCAGGCCAGCUGGGACAGUGGGUCACCAUGAGCUAAG